GACGAACCAUCCUGGUUUGCCUGGAACUGAGGGGUUUCCCUAGCUGUAGGGCUUUUAGUUUUGAAACUGG
RNAcentral lists this microRNA precursor (70 nucleotides) under Chlorocebus sabaeus (green monkey). RNAcentral's name for it is "miRNA (ENSCSAG00000023211.1)". The record is from RNAcentral. Lineage: Eukaryota; Metazoa; Chordata; Mammalia; Primates; Cercopithecidae.